UACCCUUUGUGAACCUUUAGCCUCUUGCUAGCUUCGGCUGGCAGAGGAUUUUUACACACACUCGAAUGUAAUGAAAACUAUUGUCGUGCGCAAGCACUAAUGUACAACUUUCAACAACGGAUCUCUUGGCUCUCGCAUCGAUGAAGAACGCAGCGAAAUGCGAUAAGUAAUGUGAAUUGCAGAAUUCAGUGAAUCAUCGAAUCUUUGAACGCACCUUGCACCCUUUGGCAUUCCGAAGGGUAUGCUCGUUUGAGUGUCAUUGUACUCUCACACUCUCCGAUCCUAUGGAUUCGGGGAGCGGUGGACUUGGGUGUUGCUGCCUUUCCCUGUGGCUCACCUCAAAUGUGUCAGUGCACCUCUUGGUUGGACAUAGUACGGCGUGAUAAGUGUCUUCGCCGGCACCUCGCAAGAGGGUGGCCGAUCGGGAGCUCUGCGCUUUCAAACCGUCUUCGGACAAUUUCUGACAUCUGACCUC
Molecule: ribosomal RNA, 475 nt
Filed under: uncultured Sebacina
Lineage: Eukaryota; Fungi; Basidiomycota; Agaricomycetes; Sebacinales; Sebacinaceae
Description: eukaryotic LSU rRNA
Rfam family: 5.8S ribosomal RNA (bases 106-259)
Source: RNAcentral